GGAGGCUGAGGCAGAAGAAUUGCUUGAACCUGGGAGGUGGAGGCUACAGUGAGCUGAGAUCAUGCCACUGCACUCCAGCCUGGGCAAGAAAGUGAGACUCCAUCUCAAAACAAAGAAACAAACAAAGUAUUAAUAUGUUCCCCUUGAUCAGUGGGGUGGUUCACCCUUGUAAUCCCAGCACUUUGGGAGGCAGAGGCUGGCGGAUCGCUUGAGUCCAGGAGUUCGAGACCAGCCUGGGUGAACUAGCAAAACCCUGCCUGUACUAAAAAUACAAAAAUUAACUGGGCUUGGUGGUGCGAGCCUGUAAUCCCAGUGGAGGCUGAGACAGGAGAAUCCUUUUGUAAUGCCUGACCUUGUUUUUUUACUAACCCUAUUUUUAAAUUUUCCCUUUUUGUCUCCUUAAUUACCUAGCCUUGUUUCCCAUAUGAGUAGACUCUCCCUUAGCUGGGAAAGCCUGACGAACGCCAUCUGGCCCCUUGAUUUACAAGACAUUAAGGGCUACUUACCCAACCCCCUUCCUCAAAGAGUUAACCUGCGUAAGCAGAUCCUCAGCAUUUCAAAGGAGCCCAAUUAGCUGAUAAGGUACUGGAACAAACAAUGUACGAAGUUCCCAGGAUUUUGCUCAAAAGCAUAACAACAUAAAGCCUUGAGUCUGUGUCUGGCAUAGCAUCCAUAUCUAACUCUUAUGAAGGAUUUAGAGCCCGGCACCUGGUUCCGUUGCUUUUUUUGUAACCAUUUGUCUUUUAAAUUGUUUAUUUCUCUGUAACCAUUUGUUUUUUGAUUCUUGCAUGUUUUUACUUCUGUAGAAUUAUUGCAUUUGAGCUCCGCUCCCCUUCCGAACCAAGGUAUAAAAGUAAAUCAAGCCCCU
This 868-nucleotide long non-coding RNA is filed under the name Homo sapiens (human). RNAcentral describes it as "lncAB285.1". Lineage: Eukaryota; Metazoa; Chordata; Mammalia; Primates; Hominidae. The record is from RNAcentral.